RNAcentral lists this ribosomal RNA (406 nucleotides) under uncultured bacterium. RNAcentral's name for it is "partial 16S ribosomal RNA". It matches the Rfam family "Bacterial small subunit ribosomal RNA", at positions 28 to 526 of the family's 1533-position model. The record is from RNAcentral.
GACGAACGCUGGCGGCGUGCCUAAUACAUGCAAGUCGAACGAGUGGCGGACGGGUGAGUAACACGUGGGAACCUACCCAUCAGAGGGGGAUACCAAUUGGAAACAGGUGCUAAUACCGCAUACUGAUGGAUGGACCCGCGGUGCAUUAGCUAGUAGGUGGGGUAAAGGCUCACCUAGGCGAAGAUCUCUAGCUGGGCUGAGAGGAUGAACAGCCACACUGGGACGUAGACACGGCCCAGACUCCUACGGGAGGCAGCAGUGGGGAAUAUUGCACAAUGGGCGCAAGCCUGAUGAAGCCAUGCCGAGUGUAUGAAUAAGGCCUUAGGGUUGUAAAGGACUUUCAGCGGGGAGGCGUUACCCGCAGAAGAAGCACCGGCUAACUCCGUGCCAGCAGCCGCGGUAAUUC